This 234-nucleotide RNase P RNA is filed under the name Vibrio cholerae. RNAcentral's name for it is "partial RNase P RNA component class A". It matches the Rfam family "Bacterial RNase P class A", at positions 90 to 347 of the family's 367-position model. Rfam says of the family: Ribonuclease P (RNase P) is a ubiquitous endoribonuclease, found in archaea, bacteria and eukarya as well as chloroplasts and mitochondria. Its best characterised activity is the generation of mature 5'-ends of tRNAs by cleaving the 5'-leader elements of precursor-tRNAs. Lineage: Bacteria; Pseudomonadati; Pseudomonadota; Gammaproteobacteria; Vibrionales; Vibrionaceae. The record is from RNAcentral.
GGAGGCGACUCCAGGGAUAGUGCAACAGAAAAUUACCGCCACUUUUGUGGUAAGGAUGGAAAGGUGAGGUAAGAGCUCACCGGAGAUAGCGAGAGUUAUCUGCCGUGUAAACCCUAUUUGAAGCAACACCGUGGUAGGACAUUAUACGCUUGCUCGGCGUGUCCUUAGGAGGUGGCAUUGAGCAGUUCCGGCAACGGGCUGCCAAGAUAGAUAGCUGUUCACGACAGAACCCGG